This 437-nucleotide ribosomal RNA is filed under the name uncultured bacterium. Its description in RNAcentral is "partial 16S ribosomal RNA". It matches the Rfam family "Bacterial small subunit ribosomal RNA", at positions 29 to 507 of the family's 1533-position model. The record is from RNAcentral.
AGCGAACGCUGGCGGCAGGCUUAACACAUGCAAGUCGAGCGGGCAUCCUUGUGGUGUCAGCGGCAGACGGGUGAGUAACGCGUGGGAAAGUGCCCUUCGGUUCGGAAUAACUCAGGGAAACUUGAGCUAAUACCGGAUACGUGCGAGAGCAGAAAGGUUUAUCUGCCGAAGGAUCGGCCCGCGUCUGAUUAGCUAGUUGGUGAGGUUACGGCUCACCAAGGCGACGAUCAGUAGCUGGUCUGAGAGGAUGAUCAGCCACACUGGGACUGAGACACGGCCCAGACUCCUACGGGAGGCAGCAGUGGGGAAUAUUGGACAAUGGGGGCAACCCUGAUCCAGCCAUGCCGCGUGAGUGAUGACGGCCUUAGGGUUGUAAAGCUCUUUUCUCCGGGACGAUAAUGACGGUACCGGAGGAAUAAGCCCCGGCUAACUUCGUG